CCUACGGGAUGCAGCAGUGAGGAAUAUUGGUCAAUGGGCGCGCGCCUGAACCAGCCAAGUAGCGUGAAGGAUGACUGCCCUACGGGUUGUAAACUUCUUUUAUAAAGGAAUAAAGUGAGGCACGUGUGCCUUUCUGUAUGGACUUUAUGAAUAAGGAUCGGCUAACUCCGUGCCAGCAACCGCGGUAAUACGGAGGAUCCGAGCGUUAUCCGGAUUUAUUGGGGUUAAAGGGGUCGUCGAUGGGUUGUUCAGUCAGUUGUGAAAGUUUGCGGCUCAACCGUAAAAUUGCAAUUGAUACUGGCAGUCUUGAGUACAGGUGAGGUAGGCGGAAUGCGUGGUGUAGCGGUGAAAUGCUUAGAUAUCACGAAGAACUCCGAUUGCGAAGGCAGCUUAC
This 394-nucleotide ribosomal RNA is filed under the name uncultured bacterium. RNAcentral describes it as "partial 16S ribosomal RNA". It matches the Rfam family "Bacterial small subunit ribosomal RNA", at positions 338 to 729 of the family's 1533-position model. The record is from RNAcentral.